RNAcentral lists this ribosomal RNA (539 nucleotides) under uncultured Alkaliphilus sp. RNAcentral describes it as "bacterial SSU rRNA". It matches the Rfam family "Bacterial small subunit ribosomal RNA", at positions 505 to 1039 of the family's 1533-position model. Lineage: Bacteria; Bacillati; Bacillota; Clostridia; Peptostreptococcales; Natronincolaceae. The record is from RNAcentral.
GUGUCAGCCGCCGCGGUAAUAGCNUAGGGGGCAAGCGUUAUCCGGAAUCACUGGGUGUAAAGGGUGCGUAGGCGGCAAUGUAAGUCAGAUGUGAAAUCCCCGGGGCUCAACCCCGGGCGUGCAUUUGAAACUGCAUAGCUAGAGUGCAGGAGAGGAAAGUGGAAUUCCUAGUGUAGCGGUGAAAUGCGUAGAUAUUAGGAGGAACACCAGUGGCGAAGGCGACUUUCUGGACUGUAACUGACGCUGAUGCACGAAAGCGUGGGUAGCGAACAGGAUUAGAUACCCUGGUAGUCCACGCCGUAAACGAUGAGUGCUAGGUGUUGGGGGUCGAACCUCGGUGCCGAAGUUAACGCAUUAAGCACUCCGCCUGGGGAGUACGUACGCAAAGUAUGAAACUCAAAGGAAUUGACGGGGACCCGCACAAGCAGCGGAGCAUGUGGUUUAAUUCGAAGCAACGCGAAGAACCUUACCUGGACUUGACAUCCCUCUGACCGAUUCUUAACCGAAUCCUUCCCUUGCGGGGGACAGAGGAGACAGGU